GAGCCAGCAGUUAGCAGCUUGUAGCCAAGGGAGUAACACCAUUUGGUUCCCCUGUUACUCAUGGAACUUCUUGGAGCUUGGUCCUAACAGUGAUUUCAGGACAGCUGGCCAUGGGAGAGAACCUGGAGCUCUGAGGUCACCCCCGGGUGAGACCAAGUCAUAGGGUGAAGAAGAGACAUUCAACCAAGACCCGAAGGCUGGCUCUUACUGAUAAUUUUUCCGUCAUUAAAUGUUUACAUUGCUGUGCCAAGAACUUUUUUAAUGUGCUCUUUAGAAGAGGUAUGUGGCCACUACUGUCUGCAAGAUGAAAUCAGACUUCUAUGGUAUUGCUAUUAAAUUUUUUU
This is a long non-coding RNA of Alligator mississippiensis (American alligator), 344 nucleotides long. RefSeq lists it as uncharacterized. The transcript has 3 exons. NCBI's taxonomy places the organism in Eukaryota, Metazoa, Chordata, Crocodylia, Alligatoridae. The record is from RefSeq and is a predicted model, not a curated record.